GAUGAACGCUGGCGGCGUGCCUAAUACAUGCAAGUCGAACGAAACUUCUUUAUCACCGAGUGCUUGCACUCACCGAUAAAGAGUUGAGUGGCGAACGGGUGAGUAACACGUGGGCAACCUGCCCAAAAGAGGGGGAUAACACUUGGAAACAGGUGCUAAUACCGCAUAACCAUAGUUACCGCAUGGUAACUAUGUAAAAGGUGGCUAUACUACCGCUUUUGGAUGGGCCCGCGGCGCAUUAGCUAGUUGGUAGGGUAAAGGCUUACCAAGGCAAUGAUGCGUAGCCGAAUUGAGAGGUUGAUCGGCCACAUUGGGACUGAGACACGGCCCAAACUCCUACGGGAGGCAGCAGUAGGGAAUCUUCCACAAUGGGCGAAAGCCUGAUGGAGCAACGCCGCGUGGGUGAAGAAGGUCUUCGGAUCGUAAAACCCUGUUGUUAGAGAAGAAAGUGCGUGAGAGUAACUGUUCACGUUACGACGGUAUCUAACCAGAAAGCCACGGCUAACUACGUG
This 512-nucleotide ribosomal RNA is filed under the name uncultured bacterium. RNAcentral describes it as "partial 16S ribosomal RNA". It matches the Rfam family "Bacterial small subunit ribosomal RNA", at positions 28 to 507 of the family's 1533-position model. The record is from RNAcentral.